Molecule: long non-coding RNA, 206 nt
Filed under: Elaeis guineensis (African oil palm)
Lineage: Eukaryota; Viridiplantae; Streptophyta; Magnoliopsida; Arecales; Arecaceae
Description: long non-coding RNA (EGUI_LNC010964)
Source: RNAcentral
UUAGAGUGAGUGCUUUGAUUCUAUGGUGUUAAUCUGAAGAGCCACUCCGCUUUAGUGGGAGCAACUGGGCUUAACAAGGGACGACCUCACCACUAGAGGGGUAGAGAAGUUAGUUUAAUUACAAUUGAGUUGAUGGGGGUGGCAAUGGGUUGUGCAUGAUUCAGAUAGAGAGAGCUUUAAGGUGAGGCGGAUGGGCAGAGGUACGC